AUGCCUGUGUGUAUGGAGUAUGGGUGGUGGUGGCUCACGUCACGUAAUGUAAUGUAAAAAUGCAGGAGAUUAAACAGCAACAGGCUGACAGGAAGAAUACCCAGACAACUUACCAAGCUUGGCAACCUCAAGAUCUUGGAUGCAUCAAACAACGAUUUGUGUGGUACCAUUCCAACUUCGGGCUCGUUUUCUAAGUUCACAGAAGCAAGUUUUAUAAAUAACCCGAGACUAGAAGGACCAGAGCUAAUGGGAUUUGUGAGAUACGACGUAGGAGGCUGCAACUGAGGCUUGAUGCCAGAGAAGAGGCCACCCUUUGCUUUUGCCAAAAAAGAAAAAUAUUUUGUUUUUCUAACUUAUAAUAUGUAAGUGGGAAAGCUUCCUUAUAUAUGAUGAAUCAAGUGGAGAUUCUCAACUCCAUGUCGUGUCUUAGUUGUAAUAUAUACCAUAAUAUAAAUACAUUUUAUACAUAUGCUGCCACUAAUGGAUAUGCUGGGCUGUUUUUAAUUUAA
Camellia sinensis is the source of this 509-nucleotide non-coding RNA. The record is from RefSeq and is a predicted model, not a curated record. NCBI's taxonomy places the organism in Eukaryota, Viridiplantae, Streptophyta, Magnoliopsida, Ericales, Theaceae.